Molecule: long non-coding RNA, 464 nt
Filed under: Equus caballus (horse)
Lineage: Eukaryota; Metazoa; Chordata; Mammalia; Perissodactyla; Equidae
Description: lncRNA (ENSECAG00000052075.1)
Source: RNAcentral
GAUACUCAGUGAGGGUUGAAUGAGAACCAGGUGGUAAUGGCUUCUCUUACACUCUCAGCGUUUAGCUCACAUCUGAAACACCUGGAGGGCUUGUGAAAACAGAUCGUUGAGCCCUGCUCCCAGAGUUUCAGACUGAGUAGGUCUGGGAUGGAGAAUUUCCAUUUCCGUCAAGUUCCAGUGCCUGUCGAUGCUGCUCCAGGGACCACACUUUGAGAACCACCUCUCUAAUAUCUAACCACCUCUAACGAUCCUGACUCAUUCUGCAUAUCCUAAGAAAACGAUGAUCACUAAAGUCAGCCCUGACAAAUAUUCUGCGAAACAGCGAUGAAGAAUCUGAUGUUAGGUCCCAGAAAGCAUUGAAGGUAGCUGGCCUAAAUACACACAGGCAAUAAGAAAAAAAGAUCUCAUCAAAAAUUGGUGGAAGAGGAAAUAAAUAUAAAGGAAAAGUGAGCGUAGAAAAGGUG